RNAcentral lists this ribosomal RNA (250 nucleotides) under uncultured soil bacterium. Its description in RNAcentral is "partial 16S ribosomal RNA". It matches the Rfam family "Bacterial small subunit ribosomal RNA", at positions 26 to 304 of the family's 1533-position model. The record is from RNAcentral.
AGAACGAACGCUGGCGGCAUGCUUAACACAUGCAAGUCGAACGAGACCUUCGGGUCUAGUGGCGCACGGGUGCGUAACGCGUGGGAAUCUGCCCUUGGGUUCGGGAUAACAGUUGGAAACGACUGCUAAUACCGGAUGAUGACUUCGGUCCAAAGAUUUAUCGCCCAAGGAUGAGCCCGNGUAGGAUUAGCUUGUUGGUGAGGUAAGAGCUCACCAAGGCGACGAUCCUUAGCUGGUCUGAGAGGAUGAU